This 420-nucleotide long non-coding RNA is filed under the name Apteryx rowi (Okarito brown kiwi). RNAcentral describes it as "lncRNA (ENSARWG00000015970.1)". Lineage: Eukaryota; Metazoa; Chordata; Aves; Apterygiformes; Apterygidae. The record is from RNAcentral.
GUGAUAUUUUUCUUCAGAGUGGGGCUAUGCUUCGUCCUUGCAAGGCUAACACGGUGCUGUAUAGGUCAGAGAGAGAAGAGAAUUUGAAAUAAGUUAAUAUUUCAGGACUUUGGUUGCAUGACCUGGAUAUUUCUUAGCAAGACUUCAAAGAAAGGUCCUCUGUAACCAGUGGCAACAGGAGAUCCAGGAAUGACUAAAUCCUUGGAACGUCUCCUCACUUAUGCAAGCCUGCAAAUGGGAAGCAUCUACGUGGGCUCACAUGUAGAGCCAGAGAAAUGUGAGACCGGAAGGGCACUGGAUCGCCUCAUCCUUUCUCUGCACCAAUGCAGGAUCAAGGGUCCUUGGACCAUCUCUGACACAUGCUUGAAUCAUCCUUGGCUUCUCCAGCCUGCUCUAGUAUUCCUAACCGCUAGUACCUAA